UGAGGAAUAUUGGUCAAUGGGCGAGAGCCUGAACCAGCCAAGUAGCGUGCGGGAUGAAGGCCCUUGUGGUCGUAAACCGCUUUUAUCAGUGAAUAAAGUGCACCACGUGUGGUGUCAUUGCAGGUAGCUGAAGAAAAAGGACCGGCUAAUUCCGUGCCAGCAGCCGCGGUAAUACGGAAGGUCCGGGCGUUAUCCGGAAUUAUUGGGUUUAAAGGGAGCGCAGGCGGGAGUAUAAGUCAGCUGUUAAAUAUCAGGGCCCAACUCUGUUAUGCAGUUGAAACUAUAUUUCUUGAGUACGCACAGGGAUGGCGGAAUUCAGGGUGUAGCGGUGAAAUGCUUAGAUAUCCUGAAGAACUCCGAUCGCGAAGGCAGCCAUCCGGAGCGUAACUGACGCUGAGGCUCGAAGGUGCGGGUAUCGAACAGGAUUAGAUACCCUGGUAGUCCGCACGGUAAACGAUGAAUACUCGCAGUUCGGCCGUUUAGGUCGAGUUGUCCAGCGAAAGCGUUAAGUAUUCCACCUGGGGAGUACGCCGGCAACGGUG
Molecule: ribosomal RNA, 542 nt
Filed under: uncultured bacterium
Lineage: Bacteria
Description: bacterial SSU rRNA
Rfam family: Bacterial small subunit ribosomal RNA
Source: RNAcentral